Molecule: ribosomal RNA, 298 nt
Filed under: uncultured bacterium
Lineage: Bacteria
Description: partial 16S ribosomal RNA
Rfam family: Bacterial small subunit ribosomal RNA
Source: RNAcentral
GAUGAACGCUGGCGGCGUGCUUAACACAUGCAAGUCGAGGGGUCUGCUUCGGCAGACGACCGGCGCACGGGUGAGUAACGCGUAUCCAACCUGCCCUUCAUAUUGGGAUAGCCUCUCGAAAGGGAGAUUAAUACCGAAUAACAUGAAGGAGUUGCCUGAUUUUUUCAUGAAAGCUCCGGCGAUGAAGGAUGGGGAUGCGUUCCAUUAGGUAGUAGGCGGGGUAACGGCCCACCUAGCCAACGAUGGAUAGGGGUUCUGAGAGGAAGGUCCCCCACACUGGAACUGAGACACGGUCCAG